This 681-nucleotide ribosomal RNA is filed under the name uncultured bacterium. RNAcentral's name for it is "bacterial SSU rRNA". It matches the Rfam family "Bacterial small subunit ribosomal RNA", at positions 8 to 679 of the family's 1533-position model. The record is from RNAcentral.
AGAGUUUGAUCAUGGCUCAGAUUGAACGCUGGCGGCAGGCCUAACACAUGCAAGUCGAACGGUAGCACAGAGAGCUUGCUCUUGGGUGACGAGUGGCGGACGGGUGAGUAAAGUCUGGGAAACUGCCUGAUGGAGGGGGAUAACCACUGGAAACGGUGGCUAAUACCGCAUAAUCUCGCGAGAGCAAAGUGGGGGACCUUAAUGGCCUCACGCCAUCGGAUAUGCCCAGAUGGGAUUAGCUUGUUGGUGGGGUAAAGGCUCACCAAGGCGACGAUCCCUAGCUGGUCUGAGAGGAUGACCAGCCACACUGGAACUGAGACACGGUCCAGACUCCUACGGGAGGCAGCAGUGGGGAAUAUUGCACAAUGGGCGCAAGCCUGAUGCAGCCAUGCCGCGUGUGUGAAGAAGGCCUUCGGGUUGUAAAGCACUUUCAGCGGGGAGGAAGGUGGUGUGGUUAAGAGCCAUAUCAAUUGACGUUACCCGCAGAAGAAGCACCGGCUAACUCCGUGCCAGCAGCCGCGGUAAUACGGAGGGUGCAAGCGUUAAUCGGAAUUACUGGGCGUAAAGCGCACGCAGGCGGUCUGACAAGUCAGAUGUGAAAUCCCCGGGCUUAACCUGGGAACUGCAUUUGAAACUGUCAGGCUGGAGUCUUGUAGAGGGGGGUAGAAUUCCAGGUGUAGC